CCUACUGGGGGCAGCAGUGGGGAAUAUUGCACAAUGGGGGAAACCCUGAUGCAGCAACGCCGCGUGAGUGAGGAAGUAUUUCGGUAUGUAAAGCCCUAUCAGCAGGGAAUAGAAAAGACGGUACCUGAAAAAGAAGCCCCGGCUAACUACGUGCCAGCAGCCGCGGUAAUACGUAGGGGGCAAGCGUUAUCCGGAUUUACUGGGUGUAAAGGGAGCGUAGACGGGAAGGCAAGUCAGAAGUGAAAACCCAGGGCUCAACCAUGGGACUGCUUUUGAAACUGUCGAACUAGAGUACGGGAGAGGUAAGAGGAAUGCCUGGUGUAGCGGUGAAAUGCGUAGAUAUUAGGAGGAACACCGGUGGCGAAGGCGGCUUACUGGACCGAAACUGACGUUGAGGCUCGAAAGCGUGGGGAGCGAACAGGAUUAGAUACCCUUGUAGUC
This 441-nucleotide ribosomal RNA is filed under the name uncultured bacterium. RNAcentral's name for it is "partial 16S ribosomal RNA". It matches the Rfam family "Bacterial small subunit ribosomal RNA", at positions 338 to 795 of the family's 1533-position model. The record is from RNAcentral.